UACGAGGGGGGCAAAUGUUGUUCGGAAUCACUGGGCGUAAAGGGCGCGUAGGCGGGUUCUUAAGUAAGGUGUUUAAUCCCGGGGCCCAACCCCGGACCGGCACUUUAAACUGGGAAUCUUGAAUAGUGGAGAGGUCAGUGGAAUUGGGGGUGUAGCGGUGGAAUGCGUAGAGAUCCCCAAGAACACCAGUUGCGAAGGCGGCCGACUGGACACAUAUUGACGCUGAGGCUCGAAAGCAUGGGGAGCAAACAGG
Molecule: ribosomal RNA, 253 nt
Filed under: uncultured bacterium
Lineage: Bacteria
Description: partial 16S ribosomal RNA
Rfam family: Bacterial small subunit ribosomal RNA
Source: RNAcentral